RNAcentral lists this ribosomal RNA (884 nucleotides) under Plenodomus libanotidis. Its description in RNAcentral is "LSU rRNA". It matches the Rfam family "Eukaryotic large subunit ribosomal RNA", at positions 35 to 936 of the family's 3401-position model. Lineage: Eukaryota; Fungi; Ascomycota; Dothideomycetes; Pleosporales; Leptosphaeriaceae. The record is from RNAcentral.
UAAGCAUAUCAAUAAGCGGAGGAAAAGAAACCAACAGGGAUUGCCCUAGUAACGGCGAGUGAAGCGGCAACAGCUCAAAUUUGAAAUCUGGCUCUUUUAGAGUCCGAGUUGUAAUUUGCAGAGGGCGCUUUGGCGUUGGCAGCGGUCCAAGUUCCUUGGAACAGGACGUCACAGAGGGUGAGAAUCCCGUACGUGGUCGCUGGCCUUCGCCGUGUAAAGCCCCUUCGACGAGUCGAGUUGUUUGGGAAUGCAGCUCUAAAUGGGAGGUAAAUUUCUUCUAAAGCUAAAUACUGGCCAGAGACCGAUAGCGCACAAGUAGAGUGAUCGAAAGAUGAAAAGCACUUUGGAAAGAGAGUCAAAUAGCACGUGAAAUUGUUGAAAGGGAAGCGCUUGCAGCCAGACUUGCCUGUAGUUGCUCAUCCGGGCUUUUGCCCGGUGCACUCUUCUAUAGGCAGGCCAGCAUCAGUUUGGGCGGUUGGAUAAAGGUCUCUGUCAUGUACCUCUCUUCAGGGAGGCCUUAUAGGGGAGACGACAUGCAACCAGCCUGGACUGAGGUCCGCGCAUUUGCUAGGAUGCUGGCGUAAUGGCUGUAAGCGGCCCGUCUUGAAACACGGACCAAGGAGUCUAACAUCUAUGCGAGUGUUUGGGUGUCAAGCCCGAACGCGUAAUGAAAGUGAACGGAGGUGGGAACCCUUUUAGGGUGCACCAUCGACCGAUCCUGAUGUCUUCGGAAGGAUUUGAGUAAGAGCAUGGCUGUUGGGACCCGAAAGAUGGUGAACUAUGCUUGAAUAGGGUGAAGCCAGAGGAAACUCUGGUGGAGGCUCGCAGCGGUUCUGACGUGCAAAUCGAUCGUCAAAUUUGGGCAUAGGGGCGAAAGACUAAUC